AAAGAUUUAGUUAAUUUAUAACAUUAGAAUGUCAAACUAAAAUUAUUUUAUUUAAAUAAUCUUUG
Molecule: transfer RNA, 65 nt
Filed under: Pulex irritans
Lineage: Eukaryota; Metazoa; Arthropoda; Insecta; Siphonaptera; Pulicidae
Description: tRNA-Asp
Source: RNAcentral